GAUGAACGCUGGCUGUGUGCCUAAUACAUGCAUGUCGAGCGAAGCACUUUUUGUGCUUAGCGGCGAAUGGGUGAGUAACACGUACUUAACCUACCUCAUAGUUUGGGACAACAUUUGGAAACGAAUGCUAAUACCGAAUACGCUGCCAGGUGGCAUCACCUGGCAAUGAAAGAUCCGUUUGGAUUGCUAAGAGAUGGGAGUGCGUUACAUUAGUUAGUUGGUAGGGUAAAAGCCUACCAAGACGAUGAUGUAUAGCGGGGUUGAGAAGCUGAUCCGCCACACUGGGACUGAGAUACGGCCCAGACUCUUACGGGAGGCAGCAGUAGGGAAUUUUCCACAAUGAGCGAAAGCUUGAUGGAGCGACACAGCGUGCAGGAAGACGCCCUUCGGGGUGUAAACUGCUGUUAUAAGGGAAGAAAAAAACUAGAACCAGGAAAUAGGGUUUGGCGUUGACGGUACCGUUAUCAGAAGGCACCGGCAAACUAUAGUGCCAGCAGCC
This 499-nucleotide ribosomal RNA is filed under the name uncultured bacterium. RNAcentral's name for it is "bacterial SSU rRNA". It matches the Rfam family "Bacterial small subunit ribosomal RNA", at positions 28 to 516 of the family's 1533-position model. The record is from RNAcentral.